CUUGCCACAGGGAGUUUAUCGGUAUGGGAGUGUUCUCCUAUGAUGCAGCAUCUGACACCCCACAAGGGCCCUGAGCAGUAGGGCUAACAUGCCGCUCAGAGAAGGCAAUGUCCCAAAUUAAGUAAAGUCGAAAUGUCAAAACUGCUGUGGCAGAUGGUGGAAGAGGGACCCAAAGGCUCAGAGCAGCUGGUGUGCAGGAGUGGCUACACUAUGUAAGGCUGGAAAACCCCACAGCUCUCUGUGCUUCAGGAGGACCCAGAGGACACUGUGUUUAACCCAAGACAUAAACAGCACACUGGAGAGAAGCUGCUGGAUGUCUGCCUCAGAGGCUAUGGCCCUAAUCAAGGCGUAAAGGAAUUGGCUUGGACACCGGAAGACACGGUGGAAGUGGUGAGAAGCAGGCCACCAAAGAGAUUCCAGUAAUUUCCAGAUCAUUGCUCUCCUGCAUCUACCCUUAUCUUCCCAGGAGAAUGCCUCAGUCAGGCUUAUUCCUGGACUUAGUUAAAGACAAAUUCUGAAGACAGGAGAGACACAGACCAAAAGUCCAAUUCUCCAACGCAGGGGAAUCCAACAUCUGGGAUAAGAGUCAAAAUUCUGGUGGAGGGGGAAGACUCUGGAUCUUCUACCAACAUACGCAAACUGUGCACUGAAGUCAAGUGCUGAUGACUUUUUCCUUUUCCAGAUUGUCUUAUACAUGGAAUCAUACAACAAGUAGCUUCCUGAGUCCAGCUUCUCUUACCUGGAAUACCACACCUGAGAUUCAUCCAGGUUUUUGCUCCAUACAGACAAAUCUGUGCCCUUUGCAGAGCUCAUGGACAAAGUCAGAGAGUUCCAGGAAAGUGGAGUCCAGAAUAAGGAUGAGGAGAUAAGAGCAAACAUCUGGCAAAGAUCAGUGGAGAAACCCUGACUCUUGGUGUAAAUACCGCCCAGGGUGGCCAAGGACACGGUCUCCCGGGUUGUUGUGCAGUUGGCCAUGGGUGGGUGGUCUGAUGAGGCCUCUUACCACCUUAGUCUUCUGAUGCACUGCCACUGUCACCAUAGCAGUGGGGUCCUAUCACCCUUCUGGAGACAGUCAUUGGAAGCCCCUGAAGGCAGGGUGUAUGGGACUGAGGGGGUGGGAGCUGACUCCAGAGAGGCGGGCAGGGCGGGAUCCAAGAGGGUCUUGACGGCAGAGCCAAGAAACCCGGCUUGCAUUCUGGGGGCGACAGUCAGCCAGUGAUGGACCUGAAGCAGGGAAGCUGAAUGAUUUGAUGGCUGUUUUAGAAACUCCUUUCAUGGCUGUGUGGAGGAUAAGCUUCUCUAGAAGAUAAAACAUUGGCUUAUUUUUUUUCUUAAAUAUGCGAUGUAUUCUAAGCAAAGCCUAAAUCACCGACUUUGCUUUUUUCCAUGUAGUUUUUAUUUGAUCUUUUUAAAAAGUUUACAGGAAACUUUUAUUAUCAUAAGCCUUUGAUGGUGCCACCAUGUGAAACAGGCAGAGAGAAAUAAAGCAAAAAAAAAAAAAAAAGAAAGAAAGAAAGAAAGAAAGAAAGAAAGAAAGAAAGAAAGAAAGAAAGAAAAGAAAAGAAAUAAAGCAACCUUGCCAAACUCAUAAGUGGGUUGGGGCACAACCAGGAAGGAUUUCACACAGUCUGGAUUCUCAGGAUUGUGCUCUCAGGAGAUCCUGUGGCCAUCCACCCACGCCACCAGGUUCACACUUACCCUCCUAAAAAGUGACUUGGGACUUGAGCACACCCAAGCUCUGGAAAUGUGGCUCUGAGUCCAAGUCUCACAUUAGACAUUUGCAGAUCACUGCCUCAGUUUCCUUCUGUGUCCCUGGGUUCCCGUUGUUCAUGUUUCUCAGGGAGUCUCCUCCCAGUUCCUUCACUGUAUUAUAAGUGUAAACACAGUAACAAAGUUGGCCCUCAGCCCAGUGUGGGUCCUCAGGAAAUGUGAGUGGUAAACAACUGUUGAACAGAGAAGUCGGUGCUGACUGCCUUCUCCUCUGGGACUGCCAGUGCAGGUCUCCCUUUACCAUGAAAAUUGGCCUCAGCCCCAUGAGUCUGGCAGCAGCGUCAUAACUGGCUCAGAGCUGAGGUUCUGCUUUGAGGUCCACCCACAGCUUCUGUGUCCAGAACACACCCAACAGGAAAGAUCUGUAUAUAAGGGAUGUUCAUGAAACUGCAUUUAUGGUGUACCGUGGAUUUCACAGAAAUGCUUCUGUAAUUUGAAGUGGAAAAUGGUGUGCCAUAUGCCACUUGAACUAACCGGUCUCGAGCUCUAUCCGUGGUAUUCCUGCAGGUAACCUAAUGCAUCGCUGUGCUUUAUACAAAAGGCUUCUGAUUUUUGCAAUGACAAGCAGAUGUGCCUCUGGACAGUCUUGUACAGAAUAUGCUGCAAUCCUGUAUCGUACUUCGCUUCCAGUCUAUACCUCAUGCACCUACCCUUGAGGCCUCGGAGGAAAGAAAAGCAGGUGAAAACCCUCAGGUCACACACGUAAACAAAGUUUGAGGUUUUUAAACAGUAUGUUGCUGGACUCAAAUUGGACUUUAGGCUAAGGGGAAUGAGCAGUGCCUUUAACCACAACCCGAGGCUUCCAAAGAAAAGUAAGGCGGGCUUGAAAGGAAUCAAGCUGCAGGCAGGUUAGGACUUUUCCCAAAAAGAAAAAAAAAAAAGGAAAUCUGUAGUUUUUGAAGCAACAACUAGUGACAUAUUCCCAGUUAGUUUAAUAAAAGCACGUUUAAACCAAUCUCAGAGACAGGCUUAAAACACAUCCUCACCAGAAAGCAGAGAUGGGCGUGGGGAAAGGUGGAGGUCACUUGAUUUUCCCUCACAGAAUGCAGUGUGGCCCCAACAGGAUACAGCAUUUCCCUGGUUCUGAAUAAAGCCCUGAGCAGCACAGCUGGUGCCAUAUUUCACGAUGACGCCAUCUGGGCUCUGUUCUUAAUGCUCAACACCCUCAUUUUCUCUAAAUGAAACACUAACCUGGAACCAGACAGAGUUUACAGGAAGACUCACAGUCUGCUCAGUCCUCAGUGGGAGGGGGUGGCAAAUAGUGACUACAGGUGGCAAAAAUCCGGGUGGGAGAAACACCCUCAUGUGUACCUUUCAGAAGUCUGAAUGUCACAUCCAUAUUAUACUACAAGCCUCUCCUCUAUCUUGAAUUUUUAAAAGCCUCUGAGGCCAUCUUUAUAUUUCCAACCUGUCACUCACGUGUUUUGUUUCACUAUCGGAUGUCUCUAUUAUUAAAUGGUCAUUUCUUAGCUUCGUUUCAAUUUUUCCAUUUUACCCCAAGCCCCCUUCUCCAGGCCAGGCAAGGACCCCAAAUCAUCAAUUAUUAUCUCAGGGAAUUCUGGAAAAGCUUAGAAUAAUAUCCCUUACGAUCACUUUCUAGAAACAACAUUUAACAGCAAGUCUGAAUAUUUCUUCCUUUUGCCACAAGAAAAAAAUAAUUCACUGGAGAAAUCACGUUGCCGAUGAAACUGCAAAGAGUGCACAAAGUCAAAUGUCCCCCAUAAAUCUUACAGCUGGAGAAAUGAGAACAGCUUCCCUAAAAAAGGGAUGAGGCUAAAGGGAAUUGUGUUAUCAUGUUGAGCCAUGUUUAUAAGAUUCAAGUUUAGGGUGAACAUAGUGAUCAGGAUAAAACCAGCUUGCUAACUUUGUUUUUACAUGUAUUUGAAAAAGUCAAAUAAAGAAAAACUAAAAAUUUA
Canis lupus familiaris (dog) is the source of this 3686-nucleotide long non-coding RNA. RefSeq lists it as uncharacterized. The record is from RefSeq and is a predicted model, not a curated record. The transcript is spliced from 6 exons. NCBI's taxonomy places the organism in Eukaryota, Metazoa, Chordata, Mammalia, Carnivora, Canidae.